RNAcentral lists this ribosomal RNA (253 nucleotides) under uncultured bacterium. Its description in RNAcentral is "partial 16S ribosomal RNA". It matches the Rfam family "Bacterial small subunit ribosomal RNA", at positions 524 to 776 of the family's 1533-position model. The record is from RNAcentral.
GACAGAGGUCUCGAGCGUUAGGCGGAAUCACUGGGCUUAAAGCGUGUGUAGGCGGACUUGUAAGUCCCUUGUGAAAUCCCACGGCUUAACCGUGGAACUGCUGGGUAUACUGGUUGUCUUGAGCCACUUAGGGGCGAGCGGAACAAAUGGUGGAGCGGUGAAAUGCGUAGAUAUCAUUUGGAACGCCAAUGGUGAAGACAGCUCGCUGGGAGUGUGCUGACGCUGAGACACGAAAGCCAGGGUAGCGAACGGG